Molecule: transfer RNA, 74 nt
Filed under: Serratia phage BF
Lineage: Duplodnaviria; Heunggongvirae; Uroviricota; Caudoviricetes
Also listed under: 3 other names
Rfam family: tRNA
About the family: Transfer RNA (tRNA) molecules are approximately 80 nucleotides in length. Their secondary structure includes four short double-helical elements and three loops (D, anti-codon, and T loops). Further hydrogen bonds mediate the characteristic L-shaped molecular structure. tRNAs have two regions of fundamental functional importance: the anti-codon, which is responsible for specific mRNA codon recognition, and the 3' end, to which the tRNAs corresponding amino acid is attached (by aminoacyl-tRNA synthetases). tRNAs cope with the degeneracy of the genetic code in two manners: having more than one tRNA (with a specific anti-codon) for a particular amino acid; and 'wobble' base-pairing, i.e. permitting non-standard base-pairing at the 3rd anti-codon position.
Source: Rfam by way of RNAcentral
GUUCUCGUAGCUCAUUCGGAUAGAGCGUCACGCUACGAACGUGAAGGUAGUAGGUUCGAUCCCUUCCGAGAACG